RNAcentral lists this ribosomal RNA (900 nucleotides) under human gut metagenome. Its description in RNAcentral is "bacterial SSU rRNA". It matches the Rfam family "Bacterial small subunit ribosomal RNA", at positions 386 to 1284 of the family's 1533-position model. The record is from RNAcentral.
ACUCAGGCGAGCAGCGUGAUACAGUUCAGCUACUGAGCGAUGAGACGUCGUGUCGUCAAUCUAUGUCAUCGCGAUCAGUCGUGAGUGAGUUAGCACGUUGAAUAAGCACUGAGAAUAUACGUGUCGUCGCUCGCGGUAAUACGUUGGUGGCUAGCGUUAUCCGCAAUUAUCGGGCGUAAAGGGCUCGUAGACGUUUCGUCGAUGCCGGUCCAUAAGUACAUAGGUUAACGGUGUAUCCGCGCUGUGUACGGGCGGGUUGUAGUACGGUAGCAGAGCCUGGAAUUCUCGCGAUAUCGUGGAUACGUGUAGAUAUCGGGAUGAACACCAAUGACGAUGACAGGUUUCUGGGCCUUUACGGACAGUAAGGAGCGAAAGUCUGGGGAGCGAACAGCAUGAGAUACCUGGGUAGUGCUUGCAGUCAACGGUUGAUGCUGGAUGUGGAACCCGUUUCACGGCUUCCGUGUCGGAAAUUCCGCGAUAAGCAUCCUGCGUGGGGAGUACGGCCGCAAGGCUAAAACUCAAAGAAAUUGAUGGGGGCCCGCACAAGCGGCGUAGCUUGCGGAUUAAUUCGAUGCAACGCGAAGAACCUUACCUGGGCUGGACAUGUUCCCGACCGCUCCAGAGAUGGGGCUUCCGUUCGGGGCGGGUUCACAGGUGGCGCAUCGUAGUCGUCAGCUCGUGUCGUGAGAUGUUGGGUUAAGUCCCGCAUCGAGCGCAACCCUCUCCCCGUGUUGCCAGCGGAUUAUUCUGGGAACUCUCGGGGGACCGCCGGGGUUAACUCGGAGGAAGGUGGGGAAGACGUCAGAUCAUCAUGCCCCGUACGUCCAGGGCUUCACGCAUGGUACAAUGGCCGGUACAACGGGAUGCGAUUUGAGGGGCGGAGCUGCUCCACGAAAACCG